Molecule: ribosomal RNA, 373 nt
Filed under: uncultured bacterium
Lineage: Bacteria
Description: bacterial SSU rRNA
Rfam family: Bacterial small subunit ribosomal RNA
Source: RNAcentral
UACGUAGGGUGCGAGCGUUAAUCGGAAUUACUGGGCGUAAAGCGUGCGCAGGCGGUUUUGUAAGACAGAGGUGAAAUCCCCGGGCUCAACCUGGGAACUGCCUUUGUGACUGCAAGGCUAGAGUACGGCAGAGGGGGGUGGAAUUCCGCGUGUAGCAGUGAAAUGCGUAGAUAUGGGAGGAACACCGAUGGCGAAGGCAAUCCCCUGGGCCUGUACUGACGCUCAUGCACGAAAGCGUGGGGAGCAAACAGGAUUAGAUACCCUGGUAGUCCACGCCCUAAACGAUGUCAACUGGUUGUUGGGUCUUAACUGACUCAGUAACGAAGCUAACGCGUGAAGUUGACCGCCUGGGGAGUACGGCCGCAAGGUUGAA